Molecule: long non-coding RNA, 1053 nt
Organism: Acinonyx jubatus (cheetah)
Lineage: Eukaryota; Metazoa; Chordata; Mammalia; Carnivora; Felidae
Exons: 2
Source: RefSeq, a predicted model, not a curated record
CCUCUGCUUCAUGAUGUACGUAGGACCCCAUCUAUAGGACCUUCCGUGCCUCCAGCCCUGGAGGAGCCAGGAAGCGGGAGAGGGUCGAGGACGGUGUGGCAGAGCCUGCCUCACCCCUGCAGGCCGGUGUGCGCGUCUGAACGGGAACCCCGGGCAGGCAGAACUCAGAGUCUGUACCUCUGCCGUCUCGUCUUUUUAAAAAAAUGAAACGAUUGCGUGUUUAUACUCCAGGUAGUUAAAUUUCCCCUAACAAACCAGUCACUUCGUAGGUGCCCAAGAAAUGUUAGCUCCCUGGCUUUUGCCUCCCACUGACCUGAACCACCACCACUGUCCCUGUUGCCAUGGUGACCCCUCCCAGGGACACACAGUGGCUCCGUGAGAAGAAGUGAGUCAAGCUGGGCUCUAACCCUGGCUCUGAGCCUGGCCACCACAUCUGGCCAGGCCCCCCUUCGGGCCUCAGGCUCCCGAGCCGUAAAACAAGGGCCCUGGUCUUGGCUGGGAUCAGGGCGGGUGUAUCAGCACCUCUCGGGACACGGUGAAUUCUCUGCCCCCUCCGUUCCCGCGCUCCCAGACGGGUGCGUGCCCACGCUUGCGUUCGUGUGUACGCGUGUGUAUGUGUGACCAAGUCACCGGCUGUCUCCCUAGAACAGGGCAGAAGGUCUGGGGGCAGGAGAAGGCCACAGAGGAGCCCAGGAAAGCCCAGGGCCGGCCACUUCGGGGCAGAGGUGAUCAGGAAGCCCCCCACCUACAACAGAUGCAGCGGGAGAAAACGGAGCCCAAACUGCUCCGCAAGCCUGGGCUUGAAUUCCUGCUCUGCCGUUCGGAGCUGAAUACUCUACAGCUAUCAUCUCCCGUGGUCCUUCAACAUCCCUGGGAGGAACUCAUACUCACUCUACUUUAUAGACGCGGGCCGGGCACCAGAGAGCCUAAGUGAUUCGGCCAAGGUCACGCAGCCGGACUGACUGAUGUGUGCUCAGAAGCCCAAGAGAGAGAAGUCAGCCUACCUGCGAGUGUAGCGUCGCUUUGAAAUCGUAAAUCUAAUCCUAUGACUUA